ACAUAAAUCACCAGGGAUCUUAUUAAAAUGUAGAUUCUAAUUCAGUGGAACUGGCUGAAUUCUGAGAAUUCUGUAUUUCUAAUAAGCUCUCAAGUGAUGCUAAU
Molecule: microRNA precursor, 104 nt
Filed under: Marmota monax (woodchuck)
Lineage: Eukaryota; Metazoa; Chordata; Mammalia; Rodentia; Sciuridae
Rfam family: mir-544 microRNA precursor family
Source: RNAcentral